GUGCUCACUUCGGCAGCACAUAUACUAAAAUUGGAACGAUACAGAGAAGAUUAGCAAGACCCCUGCGCAAGGAUGACACACAAAUUCGUGAUAGUUCCAUAUUUUU
Molecule: small nuclear RNA, 106 nt
Organism: Rattus norvegicus (Norway rat)
Lineage: Eukaryota; Metazoa; Chordata; Mammalia; Rodentia; Muridae
Source: Ensembl